Molecule: long non-coding RNA, 3493 nt
Organism: Brachypodium distachyon (stiff brome)
Lineage: Eukaryota; Viridiplantae; Streptophyta; Magnoliopsida; Poales; Poaceae
Exons: 6
Source: RefSeq, a predicted model, not a curated record
GCCGAAGGAAAAAAUCGCCCAGCACAGAUGUGCCUCUCUGCCUCCGGACGCUUCUCUUCGUGCGCUCGCGUCUCGCCGCCCCUUUCUUCCUCCAACCGCCACCGCUGCUGCUGCCCCUUUCUACCUUCGCCCGCCGCCGGCCGGUCGCCGCCGCCGUUGUGGAAGAGACGCUGCGGACAGAUGGAGGGAGCCGCCGCCGGCAACAGGCAUGGAGGACCUACGCUCGCCGGAACGAGGCGAGAUGCAGCGGCCAUGGAGGGAUGCCGCCGCCAUCUCCUCUGCCGUUGUGGGCGAAAUGCAGCUGAGUAGCAGCCACCGGCGGCAUCCUAUCCUUCCUCAGCUCUCGGUCGGUCACCACCCUCCGGAGGAACUGCUCCACCUGCACGACCAGUGAUAAAACAGAUCUUGUCGAGGGUACGAAGGAGCAGUGAACAACAGAUGUGAAGGAAAACGAGGUGUGGCAUAAUAACUCACUGAUUCUCCUUCUGUUUAUUGGAGAUGAAAAAUAAGCGUAUCAGGGAUAGGCCAUCCAUAAUAGAAAAUGCUCUCUUUUACACUGUAAUAUCUAUUCAUAGACAUUAGUCCAUUAACUUGCAUGCCCAGAAUUAUAUAGGAAGUGACUCUUGGAGUUGAUUUGGUGAAUGCUUGGCUCUAGACCAUAAUUAUCUUCCUCUGUUUAAUCUUUCUCAAGGCUUGCUGUUACGAAGCUUCCUACAAUUGAACUUCAUGUUUGUCGAUAUUAAAAAUUACAAAUUUCACAAUGUUGUCAAUAUUAAAUGAGGAGAGGUAGCAAAACCAGAGAUAUUUCGGGAAACUGCACUAAGCCACUAAUUGUAGCCAUUUCGCAUUCCCACCAAAUCAAUAGGCUGGUAUAUAUAUGAGAAUAUUUUGCAUUAUGAAUUUAUGAUGCUCAUGAAUUGGUUUGAAUAUCUAGGUUUUUCUGACUCUAGGUCUUGAAUAUCAACUGAUUUUGUGCGCAGUUUAUCACCUUCUAAAUUUAUCUCAUUGCUUCAUGCGUGCAAUAAUCUUAUAGUUUAUUUUCCCAGACAUUGAUGUAAUCUAGAGAGAAGUAGAUUGUACACACUAGAGAAGCCGUAAUCGAAGGAAACCACCUAGCGAUUAUACAUGGUCGCCCCUCCGUAUUUUCUUCUCUUUCAGGGUAUAGAGGGAGUCCAUCAAAGUACUAUGGUUUGCUUCAUGUGUGAGCCAUGCCUGCAUACCACUGUUUGUUUCAAUUUAGUAGUGCUUGCAAUUCUUCAGAUGCUUUUAUCUGUGCUCUAGCUAGCCAGGUAACAAAUAGUGUUCAGAUUUCUUGAUAUUUUAGUCAAACCUUCAUUUUUCACAUUUUCUGAGGCGGAUGCUAUUGCAAUCCAAAGUUUAAAUAAUAGUUUCAUGACUUUGUGGAUCAAUAUCCUCUUGAGGUCAGUUUUCCAUCGUUGUCUUCAUUGUCUCAACCCUCUAGCAUCUCAAUUAUAGUCAGCAUGGAAAGAUAAUAGCUUGCCUUGAUUCUGACAACGGUAUUCAGGUUGCAGCAUCAUUGUCGUUCUUUCAUUUUCUCUUCUCAUCUUUUGGUCCUGCUAAAUGUUGGCUUGUCUUACAGAUGCCAGCUUCUUUUUUUGAGUUCUGAUUGCUUGCUAUCAUGAUUUUCAUGGAACUGAAUCGCAUCUUCUUCUUUUUUAAAGGAAUCGAACUCUUUAACAUUCAGGAUGGACGCAGUUCAUAUUUUACUUGGUUUCUGCAAAAGCUUGAUAAAUUAUAAACAUCUUCCCUCUUUGAAAUGUAGAAUUGCAUACCCUUGCACCCUUUUCUUCUCAAAAGGUCAGGCAUUAGAAGGUAUAUAUGCUGUUCGUACUCCUGAAUUAUUUAACAAUUUCAGUACCUCCGAGUAAAAUUUCAGUUCUUAGUUAUUUAGUUACAUUUGUGCAUCUUGUUUCAAAUUUUACUUUUCCAUACAACCGUGCUGAGUUCUGCUAUCAAUAAGCAAGAUUCAGAGUUCUUUUCUUUUUCCAUACAAUCUGAAUCUUGCUCCACGAUUGUUUUAUGUUGAAAGCAGAAAUCAAUCCUCGGAAUCUAUCAGUACAUUAUUGAAAAUACUCUUUUCUGAUUCGCCAACCGCAAAUCUCUGAGCAUCUAUACAUUAUUGUUGAUCCGUAGCAAUGUCCUGACAGUUUUUCCUUUCUGACGGGGUUUGUUCCACUCAUAAUCCUCAUAAUUGGUCUCUUCUUCAUUCCUGGAUCUCCUAGAUAGCUGGCAAAGGUGGGCCGACUAAAGGAGUUUCAAGUAGCACUCCAAUGCCUCUGUGAGAAUGAUGCGGAUGUGUCCCUUGAAGUGGCAGAAAUUAAGGGCUCUGACUUGCAAUUCGAGGAAAUGCCUGGGGGGUGGAUUACCCCUUUGCAGCCGCCACCUCAUCUCCCCCUACGACUGCCGCUGGUGAUUUUGCGGUGGGGUGCAGUGCAGCGACUUGAGAGAGAUCGUGUGCCUGCUGCGGCUGAUCAAUGGCAGGUCCAACAAGGAUGGCCAGAAGAUGUGCGAGCAAAUUAUCGCCAGGUGUGGGGACGGAUUUUUUUUCUCACUGGCGCACCUUCGAGUUUGCUCCUCUCAGUAUGUCCUGGCGUGAAAAAACAUCAGGAUCUGCACAAGCUAGCCUGGCAACCUCUUUCAAUGCAUUUCCUCCGUGAUUCAGUGUAACCGGGAGGAAUAUGCAGUCAAUAGGAUUCAGGUGAGGAAGAAACAGGCGGCGAGGUGAGGAGGGGGAGAUGAGGCUGCGGCAGAGAGGAGAGGAGAUGGCGUGGCCGGCGGCCUGGCGGAGGAAUACAAUGUUGGGAAAUUAUCUACCACCUCUUGAUUUUAACAUGGUACGUCUCUAUUUGUCGGAAGCUAGAGGACGGUGAGCUAAUUAUGAAAAUUAUGUUGACAAAGACAUGAGACACCCACAAAUGCGAAAGAGAAUUGAGGAUGCUAAUAUUGCCAUCCUGACCAGCCCAUUUGAGCCCCUCAAGCCCCAAGACAAAGCAAGGUUGACAUCGACACUCUUUGAUGAAAUACUUCAGACUUUGCAUGAGCAAGAGCAGAAAUACUUUGAUGAAAUGGUUCAGAAAUGCAAGUUAAAGGCCUACAAAAAACAGUAUGCUCUUUGUGGUAGGACAAAUUCAUAUCCUUGUAUGAAGUGUAUUCACUUUGUAUCAUACGAGGCUGCAUGUUUGAUUCGAUCAUCUGUAUUUUCACGUAGGAUGUCGGUGCAAUCUUAGUUAUUUGUCAAUGGGGUUUUGACGAUGAAGCCAAUCAUUUGCUUUUGCAUAGAAAUCUGCCCGCUGUCAGAUGGGUUGGUAGUGUUGAAUUGGAACUGAUUGUCAUAGCUACAGGUCAAUGCAAAUAACUCUAUGUGAGCCUGAAUUGUUCAAGAUUCGAAAAGUUAUUAUGUCCUGAAGAGUUUGGAAGGUACAAUUGUUUUGCAUAUGUCUUUUCUUUCAACAGAGAAUACACAUUUUUGCGU